UACAGAGGGUGCGAGCGUUAAUCGGAAUUACUGGGCGUAAAGCGCGCGUAGGCGGCUUUGCAAGUCGGGUGUGAAAUCCCCAGGCUUAACCUGGGAACUGCAUUCGAGACUGCAUUGCUAGAGUAUGGGAGAGGGAAGUGGAAUUUCCGGUGUAGCGGUGAAAUGCGUAGAUAUCGGAAGGAACAUCAGUGGCGAAAACGACUUCCUGGACCAAUACUGACGCUCAUGUGCGAAAGCGUGGGGAGCAAACAGG
This 253-nucleotide ribosomal RNA is filed under the name uncultured bacterium. RNAcentral's name for it is "partial 16S ribosomal RNA". It matches the Rfam family "Bacterial small subunit ribosomal RNA", at positions 524 to 776 of the family's 1533-position model. The record is from RNAcentral.